Non-coding RNA from Paramuricea clavata, 343 nucleotides. The record is from the annotation of a GenBank genome assembly. NCBI's taxonomy places the organism in Eukaryota, Metazoa, Cnidaria, Anthozoa, Malacalcyonacea, Plexauridae.
CAAAAUUAUUAUUAUAUAUGUAACUGCUACACUAUGAAAACCUGUCAAACUGUUUUUCUGACACUGAACUUGAAAGCUGACAUUUUCUCCUUUGAAAAUGAACAUGUGUAACAUCAACCUCGUUCCCAGUUGGUGUAACAUAACUUUUCAUGCAUGAUGACUGCAAUAUACCGUAAAAUUCUAAAAAUGUAUCUUUAAAUUUCUCUGGGUUUGAACAUUCAAGCAAUCUCACGCGGGACAGAAGUUGAUGAACGUGACCUUAGUUCUUACUCACCCAAAAGGAUCUCCAACAACAAGGAAAGCAACAUCAGAAUCUUUUGCUUGUGCUAACAUAACAUCUUAA